Molecule: ribosomal RNA, 439 nt
Filed under: uncultured bacterium
Lineage: Bacteria
Description: partial 16S ribosomal RNA
Rfam family: Bacterial small subunit ribosomal RNA
Source: RNAcentral
CUACGGGCUGCACCAGUGAGGAAUAUUGCACAAUGGGGGGAACCCUGAUGCAGCAACGCCGCGUGGAGGAUGACGCAUUUCGGUGUGUAAACUCCUUUUAUAUGUCAAGAAAAUGACGGUAGCAUAUGAAUAAGCACCGGCUAACUCCGUGCCAGCAGCCGCGGUAAUACGGAGGGUGCAAGCGUUACUCGGAAUCACUGGGCGUAAAGGACGCGUAGGCGGGUUGGAAAGUCAGGUGUGAAAUCCUACAGCUUAACUGUAGAACUGCACUUGAAACUUCUAAUCUAGAGUAUGGGAGGGGGAGAUGGAAUUAGUGGUGUAGGGGUAAAAUCCGUAGAUAUCACAGGGAAUACCUAAAGCGAAGGCGAUCUCCUGGAACAUUACUGACGCUAAGGCGUGAAAGCGUGGGGAGCAAACAGGAUUAGAUACCCGCGUAGUC